Molecule: long non-coding RNA, 315 nt
Filed under: Bos taurus (domestic cattle)
Lineage: Eukaryota; Metazoa; Chordata; Mammalia; Artiodactyla; Bovidae
Description: long non-coding RNA NONBTAT024093
Source: RNAcentral
GUUCCAACUAGAUUAAGAGACUUCAAGGGCAAGAGAAAGGAUUUGUAUCUGUUUAAAUUUCUAUUCUCUAUCACAAAGAAGAUGUGGAUAUAUAUUGCUGCAUUUUUAAAUGAAUCAUUUACUUUUAGUUAUAAUUAAUAUUUGUGUAAGGAUUAAACUGUAGGAAGUUGAACAUAGGAAAAAACUGAAAAGAUAGCAUCCCAAAAGAGAAUAGAAGGUAAACUGGUGGAAACCGUGUGGGCCCUAAAGCGGGAUAGCUGCCUCACUUCACCUCUGGUUUGAUUAAAGAGAUGUCUGUGCUACCCCAUGUCCUCC